GACGAACGCUGGCGGCGCGCCUAACACAUGCAAGUCGAACGAGCGAGAGAGAGCUUGCUUUCUCAAGCGAGUGGCGAACGGGUGAGUAACGCGUGAGGAACCUGCCUCAAAGAGGGGGACAACAGUUGGAAACGACUGCUAAUACCGCAUAAGCCCACGACCCGGCAUCGGGUAGAGGGAAAAGGAGCAAUCCGCUUUGAGAUGGCCUCGCGUCCGAUUAGCUAGUUGGUGAGGUAACGGCCCACCAAGGCGACGAUCGGUAGCCGGACUGAGAGGUUGAACGGCCACAUUGGGACUGAGACACGGCCGAGACUCCUACGGGAGGCAGCAGUGGGGAAUAUUGCACAAUGGGGGAAACCCUGAUGCAGCGACGCCGCGUGGAGGAAGAAGGUCUGCGGAUUGUAAACUCCUGUUGUUGAGGAAGAUAAUGACGGUACUCAACAAGGAAGAGACGGCUAACUACGUG
This 466-nucleotide ribosomal RNA is filed under the name uncultured bacterium. RNAcentral describes it as "partial 16S ribosomal RNA". It matches the Rfam family "Bacterial small subunit ribosomal RNA", at positions 28 to 507 of the family's 1533-position model. The record is from RNAcentral.